UAGGAAGUGGUGUAGUGGAAGCACAAAGAGUUUUGAUCUCUUAGGUUAGGGUUCGAGACCCUAUUUUCUAA
RNAcentral lists this transfer RNA (71 nucleotides) under Scopelarchus sp. ausc01. RNAcentral's name for it is "tRNA-Gln". It matches the Rfam family "tRNA". From Rfam's summary of the family: Transfer RNA (tRNA) molecules are approximately 80 nucleotides in length. Lineage: Eukaryota; Metazoa; Chordata; Actinopteri; Aulopiformes; Scopelarchidae. RNAcentral also lists the same sequence under 4 other names. The record is from RNAcentral.